AUUGAACGCUGGCGGAAUGCUUUACACAUGCAAGUCGAACGGCAGCACGGACUUCGGUCUGGUGGCGAGUGGCGAACGGGUGAGUAAUGUAUCGGAACGUGCCCAGUCGUGGGGGAUAACGUAGUGAAAAUUACGCUAAUACCGCAUACGAUCUAAGGAUGAAAGCGGGGGGAUCGCAAGACCUCGCGCGAUUGGUGCGGCCGAUAUCAGAUUAGGUAGUUGGUGGGGUAAAGGCCCACCAAGCCAACGAUCUGUAGCUGGUCUGAGAGGACGACCAGCCACACUGGAACUGAGACACGGUCCAGACUCCUACGGGAGGCAGCAGUGGGGAAUUUUGGACAAUGGGCGAAAGCCUGAUCCAGCCAUUCCGCGUGCAGGAUGAAGGCCCUCGGGUUGUAAACUGCUUUUGUACAGAACGAAAAGGUUUCUACUAAUACUAGGAGCUCAUGACGGUACUGUAAGAAUAAGCACCGGCUAACUACAUGCCAGCAGCCGCAGUAA
This 501-nucleotide ribosomal RNA is filed under the name uncultured bacterium. RNAcentral's name for it is "partial 16S ribosomal RNA". It matches the Rfam family "Bacterial small subunit ribosomal RNA", at positions 30 to 523 of the family's 1533-position model. The record is from RNAcentral.